This 293-nucleotide ribosomal RNA is filed under the name uncultured bacterium. RNAcentral describes it as "partial 16S ribosomal RNA". It matches the Rfam family "Bacterial small subunit ribosomal RNA", at positions 505 to 796 of the family's 1533-position model. The record is from RNAcentral.
GUGCUAGCAGCCGCGGUAAAACGUAGGAGGCGAGCGUUAUCCGGAUUUACUGGGUGUAAAGCGCGUGCAGGCGGUGCUGCAAGUCGUGUGUGAAAGCGCUCAGGCUCAACCGGGCGAGGACAUGCGAAACUGCGGUGCUGGAGGGAGGUAGAGGCGUGUGGAAUUCCGGGUGUAGUGGUGAAAUGCGUAGAGAUCCGGAGGAACACCAGUGGCGAAGGCGACACGCUGGGCCCACCCUGACGCUAAGACGCGAAAGCAUGGGGAGCGAACGGGAUUAGAUACCCGUGUAGUCC